AUGCCUGAUUUUCAUCUGACCCCUGGACAAAGUCAUAUGUUGACCCAUUUCAUCACUGAAGAGAAAUGGAAGUUUGAAAAGGCAAGAGAGAUUAAGAAAGCUCAAUACAGAAAGGAGAAGCUCCUAAAGAAAAACGUUGUCAGAAUGACACCUGAGGAACUUCUCCAGGCUCAGUCUGAAAUUCAAGCCCUCAGCAAGGAUUUUGAUGCCUACUAUGCUGAUUGGCAAGGAGCCAAAGUCAGAUUCGUCAACCUGACGAAGAAAUUCACCAAUGUUGCUGCCCCAACGCAACAUGAAAUUCCUCAGGCUGGAGUCUCAGCUCAGCCGACUGAAGAACAUGCCAGCACCGCUGAUGAAGUUCAGGCUGCUGAUGAAAAUGUUAGUUCCAGGGCUGAUGAUCCCAUUCCAGCCGCUGAAGAAAUUGCCAGGGCAUCCACUAGUGGUGCGCCUGAAGAAACUGAAGAAGUCAGGGCAACUGCAUCAGUUGCGCCUGAAGAAAAUCAACCAGAUUCCUCAGCUCCAUCUGCACCUACACCAACUCCAAUUCUUCCAUGUGCAUUUGAUGUGAAGAAGACCAAGGCUGCAGAGCAAGCUGCAGUGAAGAAAAGGAAGGCAUCAGCUGUGUCAAAUUCUUCGGUUGCAAAGAAAAUGAAGCCAAUGACCAGCUCACUCGAAAAUCCAAUUGAUGUUGUUCCGAUUUCCUCCAUGCCAUCAAAGGACCUUGUUCCUUUUGGAGAAGACUAUGAGAUCCCAGUCGGAUUUUAUGAAGAACAUCAUUCUGCUGCUUUGUCAGAGCAGAUUGAUGAAGAAAUUGAAGUGGACGCAAUCCCUUCAACGCCAGUCAUUUCCUCACCUAUGCCUCAGUUCACAGCUGAAGAGGCUGGUGUUGAGGAAAUUGAAGAUGAAGAUGUGGAUAUAGGGUGCACCACACCUGUGAUGAACGAUGACUUUUGGGAAAGUCAGCAUCCAAAUUCUCCAGUCUUCACCCCACUACAACAAAUUCCUCAGUCCCCUGCACCAACAGUUCAAUUGGGCUCUGAAGAAACUCAACCCACUCUCUCUGUGCAUGAAGAAAUUCCAGCCACUAGUGCUGAUGAAUCUGCUGCUGCUGAUCCUCGGACUGCACUUGUUGAGGAACAAGAAAUUCCUCAGCCUGAAGAACCUGAGCUCGCGAUUCCUGAGGUGGUGAUGCAACUCACUGACACCCCUCUGUCAAAGCAAAAGAAUCCGUUCUCAAGCAAACAGAAGUUCAAGGCUGAAGAUUUCUUUGCCGAGCACGUAUUCUUCACUGAUUAUAAUCCAUAUGAUUCUGCUCGCAUAAGGAAGAGGCGUUUCUGGACUGCCAGCCAAGCCAAUUUCUACUCCUCAGUGCUCUUCAACAAAGACAAAGUCUUCGAUCAUGCACAUAUUCCUCAUGUGGACAUGGAGUCUCUACCCGGCUUUGAGCCAGUCCUCAGUGUUCUUCACGACGCAGGACUUCUGAAUUUCUGCAUUGAUAUCUGUGACUAG
Molecule: ribosomal RNA, 1509 nt
Filed under: Triticum aestivum (bread wheat)
Lineage: Eukaryota; Viridiplantae; Streptophyta; Magnoliopsida; Poales; Poaceae
Description: partial small subunit ribosomal RNA
Source: RNAcentral